This 85-nucleotide transfer RNA is filed under the name Felis catus (domestic cat). It matches the Rfam family "tRNA". Rfam says of the family: Transfer RNA (tRNA) molecules are approximately 80 nucleotides in length. Their secondary structure includes four short double-helical elements and three loops (D, anti-codon, and T loops). The record is from Rfam by way of RNAcentral. Lineage: Eukaryota; Metazoa; Chordata; Mammalia; Carnivora; Felidae.
GCCUGGGUGGCUUAGUCGGUUAAGCGUCUGACUUCGGCUCAGGUCAUGAUCUCACAGUUCGUGAGAUGGAGCCCCACAUCAGGCU